Molecule: ribosomal RNA, 460 nt
Filed under: uncultured bacterium
Lineage: Bacteria
Description: partial 16S ribosomal RNA
Rfam family: Bacterial small subunit ribosomal RNA
Source: RNAcentral
CCUACGGGUGGCAGCAGUGAGGAAUAUUGGUCAAUGGACGAGAGUCUGAACCAGCCAAGUAGCGUGAAGGAUGACUGCCCUAUGGGUUGUAAACUUCUUUUAUAUGGGAAUAAAACGUUCCACGUGUGGGAUUUUGUAUGUACCGUAUGAAUAAGGAUCGGCUAACUCCGUGCCAGCAGCCGCGGUAAUACGGAGGAUCCGAGCGUUAUCCGGAUUUAUUGGGUUUAAAGGGAGCGUAGGUGGAUUGUUAAGUCAGUUGUGAAAGUUUGCGGCUCAACCGUAAAAUUGCAGUUGAAACUGGCAGUCUUGAGUACAGUAGAGGUGGGCGGAAUUCGUGGUGUAGCGGUGAAAUGCUUAGAUAUCACGAAGAACUCCGAUUGCGAAGGCAGUUCACUGGACUGCAACUGACACUGAGGCUCGAAAGUGUGGGUAUCAAACAGGAUUAGAUACCCUUGUAGUC